This is an RNA transcript of Cyanistes caeruleus (blue tit), 1468 nucleotides long. It is a transcript of the gene named acid sensing ion channel subunit 2, with no coding region annotated. The record is from RefSeq and is a predicted model, not a curated record. NCBI's taxonomy places the organism in Eukaryota, Metazoa, Chordata, Aves, Passeriformes, Paridae.
AUUCCUCUCUUUUUUUUCCCCAAAGGUGUUUACAAAAUAUGGGAAAUGCUACAUGUUUAACUCAGGAGAGGAGGGGCGGCCUCUCCUCACCACAGUGAAGGGGGGAACAGGGAAUGGCCUGGAAAUCAUGCUGGACAUCCAGCAGGAUGAGUAUCUGCCCAUCUGGGGAGAAACAGAGGAGACGACAUUCGAGGCCGGAGUCAAGGUGCAGAUCCACAGCCAGUCUGAGCCUCCCUUCGUCCAGGAGCUGGGAUUUGGGGUGGCUCCUGGAUUCCAGACCUUUGUGGCCACCCAGGAGCAAAGACUGACGUACCUGCCCCCGCCGUGGGGUGAGUGCCGCUCCCCGGAGCUGGGGCUGGCGUUUUUCCCGGUGUACAGCGUCACGGCCUGCAGGAUCGACUGCGAGACUCGGUACAUCGUGGAGAACUGCAACUGCAGGAUGGUGCACAUGCCAGGGGACGCUCCCUUCUGCACCCCGGAGCAGUACAAGGAAUGUGCAGAGCCCGCACUCAGUCUCCUGGCGGAGAAGGACAGCAAUUACUGCAUCUGCAGGACCCCCUGUAACCUCACCAGGUACAACAAGGAGCUCUCCAUGGUCAAGAUCCCCAGCAAGACCUCAGCCAAGUACCUGGAGAAGAAGUUCAACAAGUCGGAAAAAUACAUCUCAGAGAAUAUUCUCGUGCUGGACAUUUUUUUUGAAGCACUCAACUAUGAGACCAUUGAGCAGAAGAAAGCCUAUGAAGUGGCAGCCUUACUUGGUGACAUUGGUGGCCAGAUGGGGCUGUUCAUUGGGGCCAGCAUCCUCACCAUCCUUGAGCUCUUCGACUACCUGUAUGAGCUGAUCAAGGAAAAAUUAUUGGACCUUCUUGGAAAAGAGGAAGAGGACGGGAGCCAUGACGAGAAUGUGAGCACCUGUGAUCCAGUGCCAAACCACUCGGAGAGCCUGAGCCACACUGUGACCGUGCCCCUGCAGGCCCCGCUGGGGACGCUGGAGGAAAUCGCCUGCUGACCCCUCCCCACCACAGUGCCCAUCCCGAGGAAGGAAAACUGCACAGGGAAAACAGGGACCCAGCUCAGUCCCUGGGUUUCAGUGCCAGAAGGAGCAUCCCAGAAUUCUCCAUUCCCACCGCCGUAGGCUGAGAGUUUUAGAAUAAAAGAGAUCCCAAAACCGCCGCUCUCGGAUUCUUCUCCCGGCCGCGUACUCUGGGUGAGGCUGGGCAGAAUCCCGAGCUCAGCCCAAGGUGAGCAUCCCAGGAGAGGAGGCACAGGGGCUCCCUAUGGAUCAUCCCAGUCCUGCUCCUCCGCCUGCAGUGCCUGGAGAGUCCGGGAGCGGCAGGUGGGGUCGGGUUCAUUCAUUUCUUUCUUAAUUUUUGGGGGGAAUUUUUGGAAUUUCCUUCUCCCAUCCAUGGAUUCUGUGCUUUCUCCUCAUUCUCCUGACUGAUAUUAAAGCUGGUCUUGUGGAAAUGGC